RNAcentral lists this ribosomal RNA (405 nucleotides) under uncultured bacterium. RNAcentral describes it as "bacterial SSU rRNA". It matches the Rfam family "Bacterial small subunit ribosomal RNA", at positions 28 to 430 of the family's 1533-position model. The record is from RNAcentral.
GAUGAACGCUAGCGGCAGGCUUAAUACAUGCAAGUCGUGGGGCAGCGCAGGUAGCAAUACUGGGCGGCGACCGGCAAACGGGUGCGGAACACGUACACAACCUUCCGAGAAGUGGGGAAUAGCCCAGAGAAAUUUGGAUUAAUACCCCGUAACAUAACGAUGUGGCAUCACAUUGUUAUUAUAGCUUCGGCGCUUCUUGAUGGGUGUGCGGCUGAUUAGAUAGUUGGCGGGGUAACGGCCCACCAAGUCUACGAUCAGUAGCUGAUGUGAGAGCAUGAUCAGCCACACGGGCACUGAGACACGGGCCCGACUCCUACGGGAGGCAGCAGUAAGGAAUAUUGGUCAAUGGACGCAAGUCUGAACCAGCCAUGCCGCGUGAAGGAUUAAGGCCUCUGGAUUGUAAAC